This 495-nucleotide ribosomal RNA is filed under the name uncultured bacterium. Its description in RNAcentral is "partial 16S ribosomal RNA". It matches the Rfam family "Bacterial small subunit ribosomal RNA", at positions 28 to 507 of the family's 1533-position model. The record is from RNAcentral.
GACGAACGCUGGCGGCGUGCCUAAUACAUGCAAGUAGAACGCUGAAGGAGGAGCUUGCUUCUCCGGAUGAGUUGCGAACGGGUGAGUAACGCGUAGGUAACCUGCCUGGUAGCGGGGGAUAACUAUUGGAAACGAUAGCUAAUACCGCAUAAGAGUAGAUGUCGCAUGACAUUUGCUUAAAAGUUGCAACUGCACCACUACCAGAUGGACCUGCGUUGUAUUAGCUAGUUGGUGAGGUAACGGCUCACCAAGGCAACGAUACAUAGCCGACCUGAGAGGGUGAUCGGCCACACUGGGACUGAGACACGGCCCAGAGUCCUACGGGAGGCAGCAGUAGGGAAUCGUCGGCAAUGGACGGAAGUCUGACCGAGCAACGCCGCGUGAGUGAAGAAGGUUUUCGGAUCGUAAAGCUCGGUUGUAAGAGAAGAACGAGUGUGAGAGUGGAAAGUUCACACUGUGACGGUAUCUUACCAGAAAGGGACGGCUAACUACGUG